GAACUCUGAGCUCAAAUCAG
RNAcentral lists this ribosomal RNA (20 nucleotides) under Bjerkandera adusta. RNAcentral describes it as "partial 28S ribosomal RNA". The record is from RNAcentral. Lineage: Eukaryota; Fungi; Basidiomycota; Agaricomycetes; Polyporales; Phanerochaetaceae.